UACCUAGGUUGCAAGCGUUGUCCGGGAUUAUUGGGCGUAAAGCGCGCGCAGGCGGCCUCUCAAGUCUGAUGUUCAAGCCCCCGGCUCAACCGGGGAGGGCCAUUGGAAACUGGGAAGCUAGGGUAUGGGAGAGGAUGGUAGAAUUCCAGGUGUAGCGGUGAAAUGCGUAGAGAUCUGGAGGAAUACCGAUGGCGAAGGCAGCCAUCUGGCCUAAUACUGAAGCUGAGGUACGAAAGCAUGGGGAGCAAACAGG
RNAcentral lists this unclassified non-coding RNA (253 nucleotides) under uncultured Moraxellaceae bacterium. RNAcentral describes it as "contains 16S-23S intergenic spacer region". It matches the Rfam family "Bacterial small subunit ribosomal RNA", at positions 524 to 776 of the family's 1533-position model. The record is from RNAcentral. Lineage: Bacteria; Pseudomonadati; Pseudomonadota; Gammaproteobacteria; Moraxellales; Moraxellaceae.